CCUUAACACAUGCAAGUCGAGCGGCAGCGGGAAAGUAGCUUGCUACUUUUGCCGGCGAGCGGCGGACGGGUGAGUAAUGCCUGGGGAUCUGCCCAGUCGAGGGGGAUAACAGUUGGAAACGACUGCUAAUACCGCAUACGCCCUACGGGGGAGAGGAGGGGACCUUCGGGCCUUUCGCGAUUGGAUGAACCCAGGUGGGAUUAGCUAGUUGGUGGGGUAAUGUCUCACCAAGGCGACGAUCCCUAGCUGGUCUGAGAGGAUGAUCAGCCACACUGGAACUGAGACACGGUCCAGACUCCUACGGGAGGCAGCAGUGGGGAAUAUUGCACAAUGGGGGAAACCCUGAUGCAGCCAUGCCGCGUGUGUGAAGAAGGCCUUCGGUUUGUAAAGCACUUUCAGCGAGGAGGAAAGGUUGGCGCCUAAUACGUGUCAACUGUGACGUUACUCGCAGAAGAAGCACCGGCUAACUUCCUGCCACAGCCGGCGAAUACGGAGGUGCAGCGUUAUCGAAUAC
RNAcentral lists this ribosomal RNA (514 nucleotides) under Aeromonas sp. B31. Its description in RNAcentral is "bacterial SSU rRNA". It matches the Rfam family "Bacterial small subunit ribosomal RNA", at positions 47 to 545 of the family's 1533-position model. The record is from RNAcentral. Lineage: Bacteria; Pseudomonadati; Pseudomonadota; Gammaproteobacteria; Aeromonadales; Aeromonadaceae.